UACGGGGGGAGCAAGCGUUGUUCGGAUUUACUGGGCGUAAAGCGUGCGUAGGCGGUUUGCCGUGUCCUGUGUGAAAGCCCCGGGCUCAACCUGGGAAUUGCAUGGGAAACUGGCAGGCUUGAGUGUGGCAGAGGAGGGUGGAAUUCCGCGUGUAGCAGUGAAAUGCGUAGAGAUGCGGAGGAACACCGAUGGCGAAGGCAGCCCUCUGGGCCAACACUGACGCUCAGGCACGAAAGCGUGGGGAGCAAACAGG
RNAcentral lists this ribosomal RNA (253 nucleotides) under uncultured bacterium. RNAcentral describes it as "partial 16S ribosomal RNA". It matches the Rfam family "Bacterial small subunit ribosomal RNA", at positions 524 to 776 of the family's 1533-position model. The record is from RNAcentral.